RNAcentral lists this long non-coding RNA (1045 nucleotides) under Bos indicus x Bos taurus (hybrid cattle). RNAcentral's name for it is "lncRNA (ENSBIXG00005027953.1)". The record is from RNAcentral. Lineage: Eukaryota; Metazoa; Chordata; Mammalia; Artiodactyla; Bovidae.
UCGGACACGACUGAAGCCACUUAGCAGCCGCAGUAGCAACAGUGGGUAUGAAGUUGUAUCUGAUUGUGAUUUUGAUUUGCAUUUUCCUGGUGGCUCAGACUAACAUUUAUUGUGAAUCUCCCAACUGUGUCUAUUGUUUUUUCCCCCUCAGGAAAUUCCCUUUUUGUUUUGUCUGGAGGAUAUGUGUCCAGCUAUGGCUCCUGGAUCUAAGGGGAGGAAGUAAGUUGAUCCUGGGAGGCUCAGCCCAGGAGCCAGGUCCUGGCCGGCCAGUUGUCCCUUUCCUAGGUGCAACCGAAAGUUAAACUAGCUUUGCUAACUGAGCUUCGGCUGGGCGGGCGGUAGCUACAGGUGAGUUCUUAAAGGGGCCGCCAGAGCUUGAGUAAUACUUGAAGCUGUUGACUUGGAGGGAGUUGCAGGCAAGGGAGAAUGAAUGAGAAAACGAACGAACCAAUUUUCUAUUUCCUUCCUUAAAUGCAUUCAUACUUGGAAUUAAUCACUUAGAUUUAAAAAAUUCUCUGGUAAAACCUUCAAUCUCUUAUCAGAUUAACUAAUCUCCAUGUUUUACCUACCCUUCUUUAAUUCAGUUCCUCCGAAACUUUUACUGAGGGGCUAAUACUAACUUUUAAAAAAUUAGCACCGAGUGUAAGAACGCAAAGACGGCACCCCUCCCCCUCGCAAAUGCUUCCCUUUUCCCCCUCCCAGGCUCCGCCCUUUCCCGCCCCCUAUCGUGGGUGGCGCAGUCGACACCUCCCAGAGAAUGCUUUUCCAGGUUGGGGAUCCACCCCUGGGGUGGAUCUCUCUCCGGCAGAGUUGGAAACGAUACGCGUUUAGUGAGGUUAAAGGGUGUCUCGGAAUGUGUGUCCUGAAUCUGGUGUAGGUGAGGUCACAUUUCUCUUCCAUCACUGUCACUCUUCCUCGCCUGGUGCUCUACUCGCUCAGAGCCGCGGGACACACCGGUGGGCUAGGACGAGGUAAAGGCGGGCUCUUCCAGGGCGCCCUGACCCACCUGUAGAGUCUGUGCGUGAACUCCUUUGUUCUCAGAACC